UCGAAAGAGGGCGGUUCAAUGAAGUCUUCGGGGCAUUCUGGGGGGUCAAAAGUGGAGAUUUCUUCAGGGUCUGAGUUGUCAUAGAAAAUAGUUUCGGCAGGUGUGGAAUUGAGCUUAAUGGGGUUGAAUUUUUUUGGGUUUAAGAGGAGGUGGAAGGGUGGGUGGGUGGUUUUUGAGGUGAAGAAUGUAUGAUUGGGUUGGGAUGUAAAGUUAGAGAAACGGGAUGGGGAAGAUAGAGAGAGAGAAGAGAAAGUGGAGAGAGAAGAAGCUGCUG
Molecule: long non-coding RNA, 274 nt
Filed under: Capsicum annuum
Lineage: Eukaryota; Viridiplantae; Streptophyta; Magnoliopsida; Solanales; Solanaceae
Description: long non-coding RNA (CANN_LNC003459)
Source: RNAcentral